Molecule: long non-coding RNA, 203 nt
Organism: Phacochoerus africanus (Common warthog)
Lineage: Eukaryota; Metazoa; Chordata; Mammalia; Artiodactyla; Suidae
Exons: 2
Source: RefSeq, a predicted model, not a curated record
CAUUUGCUCUGCCUCUCUGCUCUCUGCCAUGUGAAGAUGCAGUGGCAAGUCUGAAGUCUUCAAUCUGCAAGAGGAUUCUCAUCAGAACCAGAUCAUGCCAGCACCCUGAUCUUGGACUUCCAGCCUCCAGAACUCCAAUUUAACUUUUCAUCACGUGAACGGACACCUUUAUGAAGACUCCCAAAUAAACUGUUUGCACUCAA